GCACAAGCAGCGGAGCGUGUGGUUUAAUUCGAUGCUACACGAAGAACCUUACCUGGGUUUGACAUAGAGGUAGUAGGGAAGCGAAAGCGGACGACCUUCGGGAGCCUCUUACAGGUGUUGCAUGGCUGUCGUCAGCUCGUGUCGUGAGAUGUUCGGUUAAGUCCGCUAACGAGCGCAACCCUCGCUGUGUGUUACAAGUGUCACACGGUACUGCCGAUAUUAAGUCGGAGGAAGGUGGGGAUGACGUCAAGUCAGCAUGACCUUUAUAUCCAGGGCUACACACACGCUACAAUGGCCAGUACAAUGGGUUGCCAAGCCGCGAGGCGGAGCCAAUCCUAAAAAGCUGGCCUCAGUUCAGAUUGCAGUCUGCAACUCGACUGCAUGAAGUUGGAGUUGCUAGUAACCGCAGGUCAGCAAUACUGCGGUGAAUACGUUCCCGGGGCUU
RNAcentral lists this ribosomal RNA (445 nucleotides) under uncultured Anaerolineaceae bacterium. Its description in RNAcentral is "bacterial SSU rRNA". It matches the Rfam family "Bacterial small subunit ribosomal RNA", at positions 923 to 1382 of the family's 1533-position model. Lineage: Bacteria; Bacillati; Chloroflexota; Anaerolineae; Anaerolineales; Anaerolineaceae. The record is from RNAcentral.